Carcharodon carcharias (great white shark) is the source of this 135-nucleotide small nuclear RNA. RefSeq annotates it as U11 spliceosomal RNA. The transcript has a single exon. Lineage: Eukaryota; Metazoa; Chordata; Chondrichthyes; Lamniformes; Lamnidae. The record is from RefSeq and is a predicted model, not a curated record.
CUGAAGGGUUUCUGCUGUGAAUAGCACACGGACAAGGCGCUUGUUCUCUAUCCAUGCGGAAUCGACAUCAAGAGAUUUCGGAAGCACAAUUUUUGUUUCUUGGAGCUGCUGGUGAUCGUUUGUCUCAGCGCUCUG